UGAGGAAUAUUGGUCAAUGGGCGGGAGCCUGAACCAGCCAAGCCGCGUGAGGGAGGAAGGCCCUAUGGGUCGUAAACCUCUUUUGUCAGGGAACAAAAGCGAGUAUGUAUACUAGUCUGAGUGUACCUGAAGAAAAAGCAUCGGCUAACUCCGUGCCAGCAGCCGCGGUAAUACGGAGGAUGCGAGCGUUAUCCGGAUUUAUUGGGUUUAAAGGGUGCGUAGGCGGCGGUGCAAGUCAGCGGUAAAAGCCCGGGGCUCAACCCCGGCGAGCCGCUUGAAACAUGCAGUGCUAGAGAAGGCGAGAGGUACGCGGAAUGCGCAGUGUAGCGGUGAAAUGCUUAGAUAUUGCGCAGAACUCCGAUUGCGAAGGCAGCGUACUGGCGCCUGACUGACGCUGAGGCACGAAAGGCGUGGGGAAUCGGAACAGGAUUAGAUACC
Molecule: ribosomal RNA, 438 nt
Filed under: uncultured bacterium
Lineage: Bacteria
Description: bacterial SSU rRNA
Rfam family: Bacterial small subunit ribosomal RNA
Source: RNAcentral